RNAcentral lists this ribosomal RNA (484 nucleotides) under uncultured bacterium. Its description in RNAcentral is "partial 16S ribosomal RNA". It matches the Rfam family "Bacterial small subunit ribosomal RNA", at positions 30 to 507 of the family's 1533-position model. The record is from RNAcentral.
AUUGAACGCUGGCGGCAGGCCUAACACAUGCAAGUCGAGCGGAUGAAGGGAGCUUGCUCCUGGAUUCAGCGGCGGACGGGUGAGUAAUACCUAGGAAUCUGCCUGGUAGUGGGGGAUAACGUCCGGAAACGGGCGCUAAUACCGCAUACGUCCUGAGGGAGAAAGCGGGGGAUCUUCGGACCUCACGCUAUCAGAUGAGCCUAGGUCGGAUUAGCUAGUUGGUGGGGUAAAGGCCUACCAAGGCGACGAUCCGUAACUGGUCUGAGAGGAUGAUCAGUCACACUGGAACUGAGACACGGUCCAGACUCCUACGGGAGGCAGCAGUGGGGAAUAUUGGACAAUGGGCGAAAGCCUGAUCCAGCCAUGCCGCGUGUGUGAAGAAGGUCUUCGGAUUGUAAAGCACUUUAAGUUGGGAGGAAGGGCAGUAAGUUAAUACCUUGCUGUUUUGACGUUACCAACAGAAUAAGCACCGGCUAACUUCGUG